Molecule: ribosomal RNA, 253 nt
Filed under: uncultured bacterium
Lineage: Bacteria
Description: partial 16S ribosomal RNA
Rfam family: Bacterial small subunit ribosomal RNA
Source: RNAcentral
UACAGAGGGGGCAAGCGUUAUUCGGAAUUAUUGGGCGUAAAGGGCGCGUAGGCGGCCUGGCAAGUGGAAGGUGAAAUCCCUCGGCUUAACCGAGGAACUGCCCUCCAAACUGCUUGGCUUGAGUCCGGGAGAGGUGAGUGGAAUUCCCAGUGUAGCGGUGAAAUGCGUAGAUAUUGGGAGGAACACCAGUGGCGAAGGCGGCUCACUGGACCGGAGCUGACGCUGAUGCGCGAAAGCGUGGGGAGCAAACGGG